UAUACCGUGAAACUGCGAAUGGCUCAUUAAAUCAGUUAUCGUUUAUUUGAUAGUACCUUACUACUUGGAUAACCGUGGUAAUUCUAGAGCUAAUACAUGCUGAAAACCCCAACUUCGGGAGGGGUGUAUUUAUUAGAUAAAAAACCAACGCCCUUCGGGGCUUCUUGGUGAUUCAUGAUAACUUUACGGAUCGCAUGGCCUUGCGCCGGCGACGGUUCAUUCAAAUUUCUGCCCUAUCAACUUUCGAUGGUAAGGUAUUGGCUUACCAUGGUUUCAACGGGUAACGGGGAAUUAGGGUUCGAUUCCGGAGAGGGAGCCUGAGAAACGGCUACCACAUCCAAGGAAGGCAGCAGGCGCGCAAAUUACCCAAUCCCGACACGGGGAGGUAGUGACAAUAAAUACUGAUAUAGGGCUCUUUUGGGUCUUGUAAUUGGAAUGAGUACAAUUUAAACCUCUUAACGAGGAACAAUUGGAGGGCAAGUCUGGUGCCAGCAGCCGCGGUAAUUCCAGCUCCAAUAGCGUAUAUUAAAGUUGUUGCAGUUAAAAAGCUCGUAGUUGAAACUUGGGUCUGGCUGGCAGGUCCGCCUCACCGCGUGUACUUGUCCGGCCGGGCCUUCCUUCUGGAGAACCUCAUGCCCUUCACUGGGCGUGUUGGGGACCAGGACUUUUACUUUGAAAAAAUUAGAGUGUUCAAAGCAGGCCUUUGCUCGAAUACGUUAGCAUGGAAUAAUAGAAUAGGACGUGCGGUCCUAUUUUGUUGGUUUCUAGGACCGCCGUAAUGAUUAAUAGGGACAGUCGGGGGCAUCAGUAUUCAAUUGUCAGAGGUGAAAUUCUUGGAUUUAUUGAAGACUAACUACUGCGAAAGCAUUUGCCAAGGAUGUUUUCAUUAAUCAGUGAACGAAAGUUAGGGGAUCGAAGACGAUCAGAUACCGUCGUAGUCUUAACCGUAAACUAUGCCGACUAGGGAUCGGGCGAUGUUCUUUUUCUGACUCGCUCGGCACCUUACGAGAAAUCAAAGUU
Molecule: ribosomal RNA, 1020 nt
Filed under: Nematostoma parasiticum
Lineage: Eukaryota; Fungi; Ascomycota; Dothideomycetes; Pseudoperisporiaceae
Description: SSU rRNA
Rfam family: Eukaryotic small subunit ribosomal RNA
Source: RNAcentral